RNAcentral lists this ribosomal RNA (524 nucleotides) under uncultured bacterium. Its description in RNAcentral is "bacterial SSU rRNA". It matches the Rfam family "Bacterial small subunit ribosomal RNA", at positions 355 to 896 of the family's 1533-position model. The record is from RNAcentral.
UGGGGAAUAUUGCACAAUGGGGGAAACCCUGAUGCAGCGACGCCGCGUGAGUGAAGAAGUAUUUCGGUAUGUAAAGCUCUAUCAGCAGGGAAGAUAAUGACAGUACCUGACUAAGAAGCCCCGGCUAACUACGUGCCAGCAGCCGCGGUAAUACGUAGGGGGCAAGCGUUAUCCGGAUUUACUGGGUGUAAAGGGAGCGUAGACGGAGUGGCAAGUCUGAAGUGAAAACCCUGGGCUUAACCUGGGGACUGCUUUGGAAACUGUUAAUCUAGAGUGUUGGAGAGGUAAGUGGAAUUCCUGGUGUAGCGGUGAAAUGCGUAGAUAUCAGGAAGAACACCGGAGGCGAAGGCGGCUUACUGGACAAUAACUGACGUUGAGGCUCGAAAGCGUGGGGAUCAAACAGAAUUAGAUACCCUGGUAGUCCACGCUGUAAACGAUGAAUACUAGGUGUCGGGGAGCAAAGCUUCUCGGUGCCGUCGCUAACGCAAUAAGUAUUCCACCUGGGGAGUACGUUCGCAAGAAUG